This 773-nucleotide ribosomal RNA is filed under the name uncultured Neocallimastigales. RNAcentral's name for it is "partial large subunit ribosomal RNA". It matches the Rfam family "Eukaryotic large subunit ribosomal RNA", at positions 23 to 616 of the family's 3401-position model. The record is from RNAcentral. Lineage: Eukaryota; Fungi; Neocallimastigomycota; Neocallimastigomycetes; Neocallimastigales.
AGAGAGAGACAUGCGCGCAUAUCAAUAAGCGGAGGAAAAGAAACUAACAAGGAUUCCCCUAGUAACGGCGAGUGAAGCGGGAAGAGCUCAAAUUUGAAAUCUUAAAGGGUUUCCCUUUACGAAUUGUAGUUUAAAGAAGUGUUUUCUGUUGAGGUUUUGGUAAAAGUUCUUUGGAAUAGGACAUCAUAGAGGGUGAGAAUCCGUAUUUGACCUUUACUUUCAACUUUGUGAUACACUUUCAAAGAGUCGGAUUGUUUGGGAAUGCAGUCCAAAAUGGGUGGUAAAUUUCAUCUAAAGCUAAAUAUUGGCGAGAGACCGAUAGCGAACAAGUACCGUGAGGGAAAGAUGAAAAGAACUUUGAAAAGAGAGUUAAACAGUACGUGAAAUUGUCAAAAGGGAAGCGUUUGACACCAGUGUUGUUUUCUGAAAAUCAAUUAAAGAACUGUUUAUGCUAAGUCUGUUUAGACUUUAUCAGCUAACUGUUUAGUUUUGAGCUUUUCUUUAAUGCACUUUUCAGUUAACAAGUCAACAUCAAUUUCUUUUGCUGUAAAAAAGCUUGAGGAAGGUGGCUUGAGAUUCGUCUUAAGUGUUUAUAGCCUCUUGCCUAUGCAGUCGGAGAGAUUGAGGUCUGCAGCGUAGAUCCUUCGGGGCUAAAUGCAUUUGUGCUAAGUUAUAGCAUUUUAUAGACAACUUGUAGACUAUGAUUUGUCUUGUAGCUUACUCGCUUAUGUUAUUUUACCUACGCUUAGGAUGUUGAGCGCAUGUCUCUCUCU